RNAcentral lists this ribosomal RNA (1115 nucleotides) under uncultured bacterium. RNAcentral's name for it is "bacterial SSU rRNA". It matches the Rfam family "Bacterial small subunit ribosomal RNA", at positions 99 to 1240 of the family's 1533-position model. The record is from RNAcentral.
CGAAAGGGCGAGGAAUAGAUUCCUACAUACCCAGAGGUCGGGGAUACCUCGGAGAAAUCCGAAUCAAUACCCGAUGUGGUCGAGAGACCAAAGGCUUGCCGCCUUUGGAGUGGGGAAUCUCCUAUCAGCUAGUUGGUGAGGUAAUGGCUCACCAAGGCGAAGACGGGUAGCGGGUGUGAGAGCACGGCCCGCCGCAUCGAGACUGAGACACUGCUCGGACUCCUACGGGAGGCUGCAGUAACGAAUCUUCCGCAAUGCGCGAAAGCGUGACGGGGCAAUGCCGCGUGUGGGAUGAAGCCCUUCGGGGUGUAAACCACUGUCAGGGUCCACCAAAAACACGAGGAGACCCAAAGGAAGAGCCGGCUAACUCUGUGCCAGCAGCCGCGGUAAUACAGAGGGCUCGAGCGUUAAUCGGAAUCACUGGGCUUAAAGCGUGCGUAGGCGGAUCUGAAGGCGCCUUGUGAAAUCCCUCGGCUCAACCGAGGAACUGCUUGGCGAACCACGGAUCUUGAGGUCGGUAGAGGUGGUCGGAACGAUAGGUGGAGCGGUGAAAUGCGUAGAUAUCUAUCGGAACGCCAAUGGUGCAGACAGGCCACUGGGCCGCACCUGACGCUGAGGCACGAAAGCGUGGGGAUCAAACGGGAUUAGAUACCCCGGUAGUCCACGCCGUAAACGAUGCGCACUUGGUCGAGGGAGUUGAACGCUCUCCCGGCCGUAGAAAAAUUGAUUAGUGCGCCGCCUGGGGAGUACGGUCGCAAGAUUAAAACUCAAAGGAAUUGACGGGGGCUCACACAAGCGGUGGAGCAUGUGGCUUAAUUCGAAGCAACGCGAAGAACCUUAUCCUAGGCUUGACAUGCACGGAUUAGUGGCCGGAAACGGUCAUGACGCUCGCAAGAGUGGAACGUGCACAGGUGCUGCAUGGCUGUCGUCAGCUCGUGCUGUGAAGUGUCGGGUUAAGUCCCUCAACGAGCGCAACCCCUGUCGUUAGUUGCAAACGCGUCAUGGCGUGGACUCUAACGAGACUGCCGGUGUCAAACCGGAGGAAGGUGGGGAUGACGUCAAGUCCUCAUGGCCCUUAUGCCUAGGGCUGCACACGUGCUACAAUGGCAUUUGAC